Molecule: ribosomal RNA, 253 nt
Filed under: uncultured bacterium
Lineage: Bacteria
Description: partial 16S ribosomal RNA
Rfam family: Bacterial small subunit ribosomal RNA
Source: RNAcentral
UACGUAGGGGGCUAGCGUUGUCCGGAAUCAUUGGGCGUAAAGUGUGCGCAGGUGGCCGCGCAAGUCGAGUGUGAAAUCCCCGAGCUUAACUUGGGAAUUGCGCUCGAAACUACGUGGCUCGAGUGUGGCAGAGGAAGGUGGAAUUCCACGUGUAGCGGUGAAAUGCGUAGAGAUGUGGAGGAACACCGAUGGCGAAGGCAGCCUUCUGGGCCAACACUGACGCUCAUGCACGAAAGCGUGGGGAGCAAACAGG